CGUCGCGGUAAUCGCCCCUCGCCACCUUUGGUGCCGAUUAUUUUAUUAUUACGAAUUUCUCAUUCUGCAGAUAGCAACGCUGGUUGUUUGCAUUCAGCGUGUGAGGUUGCUGACAGGUGACAAGGCUUUGAGCUGUUACGGGUUCAUUUCAUUAUAACGAGCGGCUGGUGUGGUGUUAGCGCUUCUUGAUAACAUUCCUGCGUUUUCUUGGUGUUUUUUUUCGGAGGCCCCGUUGAAGAUAUGCUUGGGUCAGUGUAAGCCUGCAGCAGUUGACAGCAUCGAAAGGUGUCUGUGAGUUCCCAGUACAAUGACUUCCCCGUCCGGCUCGAUCGUCUUCGCUGGCGCUCUCUGGCGGGGUGGCUGUGCUGCCAUCACGCGGCGGUUGGUAUCAACAAGCGCGCCGCUGCAGCGCCCGCUUCCCACGCG
This 426-nucleotide unclassified non-coding RNA is filed under the name Pollicipes pollicipes. RNAcentral's name for it is "nEDD8-conjugating enzyme UBE2F-like, transcript variant X1". Lineage: Eukaryota; Metazoa; Arthropoda; Thecostraca; Pollicipedomorpha; Pollicipedidae. The record is from RNAcentral.